Molecule: ribosomal RNA, 555 nt
Filed under: uncultured bacterium
Lineage: Bacteria
Description: partial 16S ribosomal RNA
Rfam family: Bacterial small subunit ribosomal RNA
Source: RNAcentral
UGGGGAAUAUUGCACAAUGGGCGCAAGCCUGAUGCAGCCAUGCCGCGUGUGUGAAGAAGGCCUUCGGGUUGUAAAGCACUUUCAGCGAGGAGGAAGGUGGUGAACUUAAUACGUCAUCAAUUGACGUUACUCGCAGAAGAAGCACCGGCUAACUCCGUGCCAGCAGCCGCGGUAAUACAGAGGGUGCAAGCGUUAAUCGGAAUUACUGGGCGUAAAGCGCACGCAGGCGGUUUGUUAAGUCAGAUGUGAAAUCCCCGGGCUCAACCUGGGAACUGCAUUUGAAACUGGCAAGCUAGAAGUCUCGUAGAGGGGGGUAGAAUUCCAGGUGGUAGCGGUGAAAUGCGUAGAGAUCUGGAGGAAUACCGGUGGCGAAGGCGGCCCCCUGGACGAAGACUGACCGCUCAGGUGCGAAAAGCGUGGGGAGCAAAACAGGAUUAGGAUAACCCUGGUAGUCACGCUGUAAACGAUGUCGAAUUUUGGAGGUUGUGCCCUUGAGGCGUGGCUUCCGGAGCUAACGCGUUAAAUCGACCGCCUGGGGAGUACGGCCGCAAGGUU